This 286-nucleotide ribosomal RNA is filed under the name uncultured prokaryote. Its description in RNAcentral is "partial 16S ribosomal RNA". It matches the Rfam family "Bacterial small subunit ribosomal RNA", at positions 524 to 819 of the family's 1533-position model. The record is from RNAcentral.
UACGUAGGGGGCGAGCGUUGUUCGGAUUUACUGGGCGUAAAGGGCGCGUAGGCGGAUGUUCGCGUCAGAGGUGAAAGCCCCGGGCUCAACCUGGGAACUGCCUUUGAAACGGGACAUCUUGAGUUCGGGAGAGGGUAGCGGAAUUCCCAGUGUAGAGGUGAAAUUCGUAGAUAUUGGGAAGAACACCGGUGGCGAAGGCGGCUACCUGGCCCGAUACUGACGCUGAGGCGCGAAAGCGUGGGGAGCAAACAGGAUUAGAUAUCCCGGUAGUCCCUGAGCGGGCUGG